GGGGAUGUGACUCAUUGGUAGAGCGCUUGCCUAGCAUGUGUGAGGCACUGGGUUCGAUUCUCAGCACCCCA
RNAcentral lists this transfer RNA (71 nucleotides) under Marmota monax (woodchuck). It matches the Rfam family "tRNA". Rfam says of the family: Transfer RNA (tRNA) molecules are approximately 80 nucleotides in length. Their secondary structure includes four short double-helical elements and three loops (D, anti-codon, and T loops). The record is from Rfam by way of RNAcentral. Lineage: Eukaryota; Metazoa; Chordata; Mammalia; Rodentia; Sciuridae.